GAUGUUCAUUUUAUUAGGGUAUAUAAAAGUAGAUCAUGUACGCUCAGCUUAGAAAUUUGUUAAUAAGUCCACAGAUUUAGUUUAAAUAUCUUUAAUUAACAUGAUAUUUUAUUUAAUGUCAUGUUCGCAAAUUUUCAUCGACAUAUCUCACGAGAAGUACUUGUUCAAAACAUUAUUCGAUGUAUACUAGCUAUAUAUGGUGGCGGCUUCAUUUAUGUAUGUAUGAUUUUAUAUAUAUUAAGUAGACAUCGAUCAUAUUUAUGGUUGUCCUCCACUUCCGUAACCAGAUCCAUAACCUGAACCAUAUCCAUGUCCAGAACCACCACCUCCUCCAUGGCCACCGCCACCACCUCCUCCAUGACCACCGCCUCCAUUUCCGCUUCCUGAACCAUAACCAGAUCCACUGCCAGAGCCAUAUCCCGAUCCGUUCCCACCACCAUGUCCACCACCACCUCCACCGCCAUGUCCACCACCUCCUCCUUGCCCACCACCGUAACCAGAACCGCUUCCAGAUCCAUAACCACUCCCUGAUCCAUGACCACUUCCCGAUCCUCCACCACCACCAUGUCCGCCUCCACCACCACCACCGUGUCCACCUCCACUCCCUUUACCACUUCCAUAACCUGAACCGGAUCCAUAGCCACUACCAGAUCCUUGACCUCCACCGCCACCGUGUCCCCCUCCACCACCGCCUCCACUACCAUACCCACCUCCUUUCCCAUGUCCCGAACCAUAUCCUGAGCCAUAACCAGAACCACUUCCCUUCCCACUACCUCCUCCUCCUCCACCGCCGCCGCCACCUCCACCACCACCUCCAUUAUUCGACCAAACCCUGGUUGCAGAGGUCAUGCCUAGGAAGAGCAUGACAACCAAAGUAGCACCCAACACUUUAGACAUAGCCAUUGAUGGUUAUAUAUUUUAGAAAGUUAAAAGAGAGAUGUGUGUUGUUGUGAAGUGUGCAUGGGAUGGUGUUGGUAUUUAUACCAAUUUUCGGCUCAUGAAAUAAUUAACAUCUGCCAACUGUUUCGGACUUUAAGAGUUUGAAGUCAGAAAUUUGGCGCCAACUCAUCGCCUAAUAAGCCAAAACACUUUGUUGAAUUCAUCAUAUUAAACGACAAUGAUAUCGAAAAGAAGUUCAAUUUUAAUCCACAAAUUUUCACCGACAUCAAACUAUUUGACUGAAUUAAUGUAAUUAUUCGAUUAAAAAAAUGGUAGUUAGUAAGUCACGGUCAUACCAGAUAAGUAGAUAACCCUACUUUAAUUAAACCAUAAAAAGACUUCGGCUUCAAUCCACUUAUUUUCACCGACACCGCAAGUUUUUGACCUCCAAAUUGUAAUAUUCGAUUCAAAAGUUAGUGAGUCACAAUCAAGUUAGAUAAUCUUAUUUUACACUGUUUUUUAUUGACUUAUUUUCAAUUCACAUUCUUAAAUUUCCGUGUUCAUGUUUUUGUCUUUUUUGGGCAGACGUGUCUUGUAUGUUGUAUAAGACACUAACACAUGUAAGACGUAAAAUAAUGUACUGCGAAAGACGUUUAUUUUCAAUUCACAUUUUUAAAUGUCUGUUUUCAUGUUUUUGGCUUUUUUGUUAAAUUGAAAAUAAGACAUGAUUUUUCAAUUCUCAAAAACAAACAUAUAUAUUAAGUUUGAACGAAUCAAACUUGGUCUAUAAGUUUGAACAUAUAACCCAAUUUUUUUUUAUAAGAACCAAAUUAAAGCUCGAAUCGACCUCAAACUUAUUUUGUUAAUAAACAAGCCCGUAUAAGUUCGAAUCUUAACAAGCUCGGCUCUUAUUAAGCUCGUUCGGUAUCCAAGCACGAGGUUGGCUAACUGUAAUCAAGCACAAUUCUAAGCAAAACAAGCUAAUUGUAUUCAACACCAAAACAGAUGUUACAGACUUUGUAUUUAUAGUAAAUGUAUUAUAGUAAAUUAAAUGAUGGUGUAUAAUCGGAGAUGGGCUUACACGAUCAGAUUAAGGUUUAAUCCAUCUCUUUUUAGUAUAGUACAAGUGUCAAGGAUAACAAUACAAAUAAAUUAUACAUAGAGGAUCAACACGUAAAAUCAACCAAUUUGCACAGUUAUUCUCAAUACAACAGCUCUGAUCUCCUCCUUCUUCCCCCUUCUUCGUAUUCUCAACACUCUUCAACUCUCAACAAAGUGUAACGUGUUCUCCCUCAUUCUAAAAGGUUGCUAUUUAUUAACCUUCUUCUAACCUCGGGCCAGGCCGGGAUUGGGCCGAACAGAUAUGGGGAUGUUCCCUGGCCGCUCUAGCGGACCAGGGGUAUCAUCAGUAUAUACUCCCUCGACGGUCCUUGUUCGUUGAUGCUCUUGUUGGGUCAGUCCAAAGAGCCAAGGGUAUCAUCAGUACCCUCUUCCCACUUCUUGGAGCCUAUAAAUACAUUGAUGUCUCCUCUUUUUUCUUCAUAACCGAACUAAUCAUGCAUUCUUCUGCAGGUCCUCGAUGAGUUGAGGCGUGAGUUGGUGCACCGGUAGGCUGUCUGGUCGUAAUGUUUGAUCCUCUCUGAAUUCGAUCUUAGGGCUCUUAUCGCUAUUGAGAGUGACCGGUUGAAUGCUUUACAACUUAUAGUGUACCAUCGUUUGGCUUCCUUUCAUCAGGUUGACACAGAUUCGAUCGCGUUGGGGAUUGUCACUCAAGUUGUUGUGCCUUCCUCUCGGGUUGUGGCCCCUUCUCCUUGUGGCCGAGCUUCUGUCCCACAAGGUGAAUCUUCCGACUCUACUGCUCCUUCUGUUGUUUCCCUUUCGCUGCCCUCAUAACACCGUCGGGGUCGUCGACACCGACCACAUCGUGCGUUGUCUGAACGGUCAGUCAUUGACCUCCGCCACUACAUAUCGUGUGGGGCCACUUGAUAGCCUUCCCAGUCUUCUCAUAGGGAACCCCUCCGCGAGCUUCUCCGUUUGUAAUCUUACUUUUAUUUUCUUAGAGUCUUUGUUUUCGACUCACCCCCGCUGUAAUAGCUUAUUUUCUAAUGCAACUCCGUUAUUUGUUUUCGACUCCUAGAACCUAUCCCCUCGUGCUCUUUGCUUUUGCUCUUCCGGGGAUCAGAUCGAUCGGUUCUUCUAGAUCCUAUCUCUCGGGCCUACUUGAUUUUGCUGUGGGAUUUGGACGGCUCCUGGACCUAUCCCCUCGUGUUCUAUCUUUUCUCCCUAUGAUUUGGAGAGUCUGAGCAGUUGUCAUAACCUAUUUCCAUCGAGAAGGACUUAUUUCUUCCCUACAACAUGAAGAAUCCGAGUUGUUCCUGGAAUCUAUCUCUGGGUGAUCGAGCGGGACUUAUUUCUUAUUCGGGGAUCCAAGCGGUCUGUGGGCCUAUCCCCUGGUCGUAAAUUGGAUCGACCUGUUUUCCUUGUUUUUUUGGACGUUUCACGCUAUGUUUUAGUUAUCCAAAGUGGCUCCUUGUUUUAUUUCGAUAUUGAAAAAACAAGUAUGUACGAAGCCCCCUUUUAUAUAGCUUACUAGUUACUGUCGAUCGGUACUUGGAAAAGGUGUCUGUAUGCCAAGUCCUUUCCAUUAGUUGUCCGUACUCGAACAUCAGUUGAAAUACACAUGGGUCGGACCUCCUCUUUUAUGAUGUACGGGGAGGUCCCCUACGGUCAAAUCCUUUUUCGAUACCUUCGUGUUGUGGUACCGGCCGGGCGGUCCUCCGCUUGUACGGUUAGCAUGGUCGUAUCGUUCUCUUCCGGGAUGUAUCCUAAGAUCUGAUUCAGUAGUCGACCAUACGAGUUCGGAAGAGGACACUGCACUGAUUUUGAAUGCUAAUGUGAACUGCGCGUAUCUGGUUGGGAUCUAUAAUGUGGUGCGGUAGGUCCACAUUAUUUCCGGGAUUAAGUUGGCCCAUGUACCCGGGUUUUCUCUGACUUUUCGCUUUAGAAUUGUCGUUAUUUUACGAUUUGUUACCUCCACCUGGUCAUUGGACUGGGGAUGAUAUACGGAGGUUAAAGUUAGCUUUAUUCCACUCUCUUUGAAAAACAUUUUGAAUUUUUUGCCUGCGAACUGCGUCCUAUUAUCGGCUAUUAUUUGCAUCGGGACUUCGAAACAGCAAACGAUGUUUAACACAAUAUUCUAUCAAAUUUUCACUAUCAUAUACUUUAUCAAAAAAAAUAAACCGAGGAUGGGACGCAGUUCAUUGUACAACUGUACUGUUUUCAUUGACUGAGAUAUUUAUUGAUAAUUUUAAAAUUAAGAUGCCAUUUUUUGUUGUUGUUAAAAAUCAUUUAUAUCAUAUGAAAUAUCUCAUGAAAACGUUUUUUAUUUAUUCAUAUCAUGACUGUGGUGGCUUCAUAUAUGUAUGUAUGAUUUUAUAUAUAUCAAGUAGACGUUGAUCGUAUUUAUGGUCGUCCUCCACUUCCGUAACCCGAGCCUGAUCCAUAACCAGAACCAUAUCCAUGUCCAGAACCACCACCUCCUCCAUGGCCACCGCCACCACCUCCUCCAUUGCCAUAACCACCAUUUCCGCUACCUGAACCAUAACCAGAUCCACUGCCAGAGCCAUAUCCCGAUCCGUUCCCACCACCACCUCCACCGCCAUGUCCACCACCUCCUCCUUUUCCACCACCGUAACCAGAACCACUUCCAGAUCCAUAACCACUACCUGAUCCAUGACCACUUCCCGAUCCUCCACCACCACCAUGUCCACCUCCGCCACCACCACCGUGUCCACCUCCACUCCCUUUACCACUUCCAUAACCUGAACCGGAUCCAUAGCCACUACCAGAUCCUUGACCUCCACCGCCACCAUGUCCCCCUCCACCACCGCCUCCACUACCAUACCCACCUCCUUUCCCAUGUCCCGAACCAUAUCCUGAGCCAUAACCAGAACCACUUCCCUUCCCACUACCUCCUCCUCCUCCACCGCCGCCACCUCCACCACCACCUCCAUUAUUCGACCAAACCCUGGUUGCAGAGGUCAUGCCUAGGAAGAGCAUGACAACCAAAGUAGCACCCAACACCUUAGACAUAGCCAUUGAUGGUUAUAUAUUUUAGAAAGCUAAAAGAGAGAUGUGUGUUGUUGUGAAGUGUGCAUGGGAUGGUGUUGGUAUUUAUACCAAUUUUCGGCUCAUGAAAUAAUUAACAUCUGCCAACUGUUUCGGACUUUAAGAGUUUGAAGUCAGAAAUUUGGCGCCAACUCAUCGCCUAAUAAGCCAAAACACUUUGUUGAAUUCAUCGUAUUAAACGACAAAGAUGUCGAAAAAAAGUUCAAUUUCAAUCCAACCGAUACCAAACUAUUUGACUGAAUUGUAAUAUUCGAUUAAAAAAUGGUAGUUAGUAAGUCACAGUCAUACCAGCUAAAUAACUUUUUUUUUAUUGACUAAGUUUCAGUUUACACAUUCUUAAAUUUCUGUGUUGAUUUUUCACUUUUUUUAAUCAUCUCUUAAAUAAAAAAAUAUUAUAUAAUAUUAACAGAUGAUAUAAAAUUCAAGGGUUAUUUGUAAGUAAACCCAUAUAUUAUCUGAUUCCUGCCUAACAAGCUUAAACACUUUAUUUAUUUAUUUGAUUCCAAUCCACAAAUUUUCAGCCGACAUGCAGCACAAGUAUUUCAUUAAAUUAUAAUAUUUGAUUUAAAAUUUAGUGAGUGACAAUCAUGACAGAUAAUCUUUUCUUCUUGAGUUUAAAGUUAUUAAGUCUGUAAAUGGUAUAUCGAAAUCCAUAUUCGAAUCCGCAUUCGAAUUCGAAUAUGACUAUCCGGAUUCGGAUACCUGAAUUGAAAUCCAGAUUUUAUUCGGUCGGAUUCGGAUAUCCGGAAAAUCCGUCGAUAAAAUCCGAAUUCGUUUAAAAAUUUCGGAUUCGUUCUGAUAUCCGGAUAAAUAUAUAAUAAAUUAAUAUUAUUAUAUUAUAUAUUUUUAUUAUAAAUCAUUAAACACUUAAAGUUUUAAACCUAAUUACCUAAGUUAUAAUUAAUUAAUUAUAAAUCUUUAUAACUUAUUAACUUAUAAUUAUUAAAUCCCAACCCUAAUCCUAACAGUAACCCUAAAGUUAUUCAGAUUCGGAUUAUUUGAAUUCGAAUUAUCCGAAAAUCCGGAUAAUUUAUUCGGAUUAUUCGGAUAUCUGGAUAAUUUAUCCUUCGAAUUUUCAAAUCCGGAUUUUAUUCGAUCGGAUUCCUACAUAUCUGAUCCGAAUCCGAGCGAUAUACAGGCUUAAAAGUUAUAAUGUAAUAUCACAAGUGAUGACAAUAUUCUAAUUAUAGCAAUCAUAAUAGUUAAUUACAACUCGAUUAGUCUAGUUGGUCGCACACACUAUUAAAGUUAACCGAAGGUCUAAAGUUGACAGAGUACUUGUCGAGGAGAUGGAGCCCGCAACUGACGACAAGAUGACAGAGAAUGAUUCUAACGACCAACGGUUUGCCUGGAAAGAGGGUGCGUCAGCUGAAGGGUCCGCCUACUGAAUACCUGGUACCAGGACUUUGUAACCUAAUCACGAUGGUCAAAGGGGCACGACGAGUUCUUUAAAUUUAUCUGGAGAAUUUAGUAAUUAGUUGGUCGUCGGGAUGGAAGAAAAUGAGUUGUAUUUUUAUUUUCUUUAAUCAACUGAUACCAUCUCAGAAACGCAAUUCAUUUAUUAACAACUAAAAUCAAUUCCAUAAAAUGAUUAACCCAAAAGCUUGGGUAAUACAAACUAUUUAUAGUAUGGUUAAGUCUAAAGUAAAUUGUUAAUCACACUUUAAACUAAUUACAAUGUUAUGAUCAUUACAGCAAUAUUGUUUAUUUAAUUCUCACACCCGUCACUGAUCUCCGCCAAUACAUAUCGCGUGGGGCUACUGAUGUCUACCCUACCGUCUCAUGAGGAACCCCGCAAGCUGCUACGAUUUUGUUUUAGUUAUAUUUUAAUUUCCUUUUGUAAUCUCACUUUUACUUUCCCUGCAGUCUUUGUUUUCGUCUCGUCCUCGAUGUAAUAGCUCAUUUUCUAAUGCAACUCCGUUAUUCGUUUUCACCUGAUUACUCAGAUAUUCGUUUCCUGUUCUUCCAUGAGUUUGACGGGUUGUUUAUCGACUAUUUGGUCGCGGGUGCUCCUACUGCUUCGGGACGGGUUGUGAUCUAUGGGGGCUCUUGGGUUGUUAUCCCUCCGACCUGGGAGUUUGUUGAUCGAGAAGCUUCGAGGUCGACCGGUUGAUCGAGAAGCUUCAGAAGAUGGGGGUCGACCUCAAGGCAACAGAGCUUCGGUGCAUUACCGCAUUAGCCGACAACGAAACUCUCAAGCAUGAGACCGGGAAAGCGGUCAAUUUCUUCAAUGAGAGAGCCUAGAAGAUGAGGGCCAAGCGGAAGAACGAUCUACUUGGUCAUUUCGUUGCUAGGAUGAAGUGUGAGAGUAACCUUGUCCAGCUAUCCGUUGAAGAUUUCAUCGUUCCGAUCAACCUCGCGCAGUGGGAAGAGUGGAAGAGCAUUGGGCCUCCUGAACUUCCUCCGGAUUGAUCACGGUUCCGAAGCUUCCAGAAGAUCACGAAGCAGAGCCUUCCUAAGUUCGUUUUUUUCUUUCCUACUUUAUGUUUGUAUCCCAGUACACUAGUUUUGCCUUUUCUUAUUUCACCAAUACUUUUUUUUUGCUAUUUGUUUUGUAUCUGUGUUUGCUUUUGCUCUCCCGACCCUACUUGACUUUUGUUGGGAAAUCCAGACGCUCCUAGAACCUAUCUUCUCGUGCUCUUUAAUUUGCUUCCACUCUUUGGUUUUGCUCUUCCAGGGGAUCCGGUCGGUUCUUCUAGAACCUAUCUCCCGACCCUAAUUAAUUUUACUAGGGGAUCCAGACGGCUCCUAUAAAACCUAUCUCCUCGUGUUCUUUCUUUUCUUCCUAUGGUCCGGAGAGUCCGAGAAGUUGUGAUAACCUAUCUCCCGACCAUCGAGCAAGACUUAUUUCUUCCCUACGACCUGAAGAAUCUGAAUUGUUCCUGGAAUCUAUCUCUGGGUCAUCGAGCGGGACUUAUUUCUUUUCCGGGGAUCCGAGCGGUCCAUGGGCCUAUCCUCUGGUCGUAAAUUGGGUCGACUUGUUUUCCUUCCUUAGCUUUAUUCUGCUUUCUUUGCAGAACAUUUUCAGUAUUUUGUCUGCGAAUUGCAUCCCAUUGUCAGUUACUAUUUGCAUCGGGACUCCGAAACGACAAACGAUGUUUAACAUAAUAUUCUAUUUAAUGUCAUGUUCGCAAAUUUUCACCAACUAAAAUUGGAUAUUAGUAAGUCACUAUCAUUUAUUCAUAUCACAACUGUACUUUAUCAAAAAAAAUUAAAUCAAAUUGACAUUUUUCAUUGACUGAGAUAUUUAUUGAUAAUUUUAAAAUUAAGAUGUCAUUUUUUGUUGUUAUUAAAAAUCAUUUAUCUCAUUCGAAAUAUCUCAUGAAAACGUUUUUUAUUUAUUAAUAUCACGAUUGUAGUGGCUUCAUAUAUGUAUGUAUGUAUGUAUGAUUUUAUAUAUAUCAAGUAGACGUUGAUCAUAUUUAUGGUCGUCCUCCACUUCCGUAACCAGAGCCUGAUCCAUAACCUGAACCAGAUCCAGAUCCAGACCCACCACCUCCUCCAUGGCCACCGCCACCACCUCCUCCAUUGCCGUAACCACCAUUUCCGCUACCUGAACCAUAACCAGAUCCACUGCCAGAGCCAUAUCCCGAUCCGUUCCCACCCCCUUGUCCACCACCACCUCCACCGCCAUGUCCACCACCUCCUCCUUGGCCACCACCGUAACCAGAACCGCUUCCAGAUCCAUAACCACUCCCUGAUCCAUGAUCACUUCCAGAUCCUCCACCACCACCGUGUCCACCUCCACCACCACCACCGUGUCCACCUCCACUCCCUUUACCACUUCCAUAACCUGAACCGGAUCCAUAGCCACUACCAGCUUGACCUCCACCGCCACCGUGUCCCCCUCCACCGCCGCCUCCACUACCAUACCCACCUCCUUUCCCAUGUCCCGAACCAUAUCCUGAGCCAUAACCAGAACCACUUCCCUUUCCACUACCUCCUUCUCCACCACCGCCGCCACCUCCACCACCACCUCCAUUAUUCGACCAAACCCUGGUUGCAGAGGUCAUGCCUAGGAAGAGCAUGAUAACCAAAGUAGCACCCAACACCUUAGACAUAGCCAUUGAUGGUUAUAUAUUUUAGAAAGCUAAAAGAGAGAUGUGUGUUGUUGUGAAGUGUGCAUGGGAUGAUGUUGGUAUUUAUACCAAUUUUGGACUCAUGAAAUAAUUAACAUCUGCCAACUAUUUCGGACUUUAAGAGUUUGAAGUCAGAGACUUGGCGCCAACUAGCCUCAUAAGUCAAAACACUUUGUUAAAUUAUCUGGAAUUCAUCGUAUUAAACGACAAAGAUGUUGAAAGGAUGUUCGAUUUCAAUCCAACCGACAGCCAACUAUUUGACUGAAUUGUAAUAUUCGAUUAAAAAAUGGUAGUUAGUAAGUCACAAGUCAUACCACCCGGAUAACUUUUUUUUUUGCUUCAGUUUAUUGACUAAGUUUCAGUUUAUUUUUCAUUUUUUUUAAUCAUCUCUUAAUUAAUAAAUAUUCGAUGAUAUAUUACCCAAAUGUAGUUGUUUUUACUUUUACAAAGACACGGUCCGUUAAUUUUUUCACCCGAUCAAUAGUUUUUACCUGACUCUAGCCCGAUCAAAUCCGAUGGUUAUUUGUAAAUAAACCCAUAUAUUAUCUUAUUCCUGCCUAACAAGCUUAAACACUUUGUUUAUUUACACUCUGUUUCUGAGACGACCACACUGCAUGAUGAACGGAAUGCGGUACGUGUCGUGGAUUGCGGUAACCGAAGUUCUAAAGUUCGAAUUUUAGGUUAUACACUUUGACUUUUAUUUACUUAUGUAUCAUGUACCUUAUCAAAAAAAAACUUAUCAUUAUAUAUAUGAGAUCGGACGUUGAUAAUUAACAAUAUAGUAGUAUUUGUUAUAACUAAGGUUAAUUAGAAAUAGUUGCAUAAAUAAAUGAGUACGCAAGAAGUAAAUGAAAAAUUAAGUUUAUGAAAUUACCGGACUAUACGUUGGAAACUUUACCAGCAUGAUUCUGAUAGUUGGAAACUUCACUACCGGACUAUAUGUUUCAUCAAAGUCAAUUUCUUGACUUAUGAAAAAAUCCAUGCAAUCAUACGUGCUUUUCGUUGUUCGACUUGGAAUAUAUUUGUAGUUUUGCAAAUGGAAAAGAAUUUUCGAAAAAGGUGCAAUGAUAUGAUUCAGCAUAUAGGGAUUCAUCUGGAUCUGAUGGCUAGACAUGAUCUAUAGAAAUUUAUCGAAUGGAACUGCCGACUGUCGCAUUGUGACUGCCUCCCCAUAAUACACCCCAAAUUACUGUAGAUGGUCACAUAUAUAUACUGAAGAUUUGAGAGGGGACGAACGCACCGGCAACAACCAAUUCAUCGUCCUGUACUUAGCGCACUGGAGAAACAUCUUCGCUGGCAGCGUGGCGAUUGUUCUAGAGUUGCAUCUGCAGCUGAAGGAUCCGAGAUUCAGACGGUUAUCCAUACACAGAGGCUAAGGUACGUUGCCCAGAUAUUGGUUGCAGAUUUGAGCCCCAAAAUUGUGGGAAAGACAUAAAUUAAAGAUGAUAAAAUCCAACUUACUAGCAACUGAUCUUUACGCCACCAAGCCAUAUAAAUUGGGGAUUGAGGAAAGGGUGUAGGGUAGAGAUCGACUUAUCAAUCAAUGAUUGUAAUUCGAAGUCGUUGAGUAAAAGAUUAAACUGCAUUUUCCAUAGUAGAUAGUUUAUCGUAGACAGUAGACACCUUGAUAUGGAGAAAAACUUGGAUGGAUCCAUCGAAUAUUUGUUGAGUUUGAAAAAGCAUUGUUGCUUGAUUGGAUCCAACAUGAGAUCGACAACGGCAUCUACAAGAAUAGGUGUUGAAGGCAGCGGUCUAGAAAUUAUCACCUUAGUCAAUCAUAUAGAUCAUUCAUUACUCUUGACGGUUUGAGUAGUAAAAUUAGACGUAAUUAGCUUAAAGUAUCUACCAAUCCUAUUUUUUCAUUUCAAGAGAUAUACACAAACAACAAAAUAUCCUAAGAUAUUUUAUGAUUCAUUAUUUGAAAUUCCACAAAAUAUCCUUGGAUCAUUUCACUUAAUUGUUUUAAAUUUGUAAUAGAACUUAUAUUUGAAAUAUAUGCAAAUAUAAAUAUGAAAUAUGGUUUAAGAAUUGAAUUAUCGAUGUAUGUAUGAUGAUAUGAUAAUGAACUGUAAAUUGAUACUGUAGGAUGAUCGAUUGAUGAAGCGAUGAUCCACAGCUUGUUGAAGUGAGUUGAAUGUGAUUGAACUUGAAUCUGUGAUUCAAGUUGUUGUGUUGCGGAAGCGUUUGAAGAUUAGCAGUUCCAGUUGCAGAAUUGAUCAGACAGAGUAACACAAAGUCUGUAAUUGUAAUACAGAGUGUGUGGGUGUGUGUGAUCGUGUGUUAAAAUUAAACUAGGAUUAGAUAAGUUUAUAUAGAAGAACACCCAACGGCUAUGUUGGUUGGGUGUAUUUAAUUAUGGUAAUUAAUGUAUAUAGGAAUGUGUAAUAUGGAUUUGGGAAUUAAUAUAAGAUUGAAUAUUUGAUUGAUAUUUAAAUAUGAAAAGAUGUAAUGAGAAUGUGAAGAGUUGUGAUGAAAUAAGAGGGUGUUAAUGAUAAUUUUAUUAUAAUGUUAUAUGUGUGAUUUAUUUUAAGGUAGGGGUAUAUCUCUAAUAUCCUCCCUCAAAUCAAAACCGGUCAGGGUUUGAUUUGAAUAUAUGAGUGCAUUGGGGUGUUGAAGUGAAUUAAUUGGGUUUGAAUUCUUGGUGUGUAUAUCAAUUGGGUUUAGUCUUUGGAUUAGAUUUUUAAAUGCAGGACCACCCAAGGGUUUAGUGAAAAAAUCACCAAUAUUUUGUGUGCUAGAAACGUGUCUUAGUGUAAUAUCUCCCGCUAAAACCUUGUCCCUCACCGUGUGAAGAUCGAUCUCUAUAUGCUUUGUUCGUCGGUGUGAUAUAGGGUUUCGUGCGAUCGCCUCUGCUGCCGUGCUGUCGGUGAAGAUACGUGGAGCCGGUGAUCGUCGUAUCUGGUAAACUCCUAUCUCAUGUAGUAGCAUUGUUAACCAAGUUAGUUCACAUGUAGUGUAGGCCAAUGCUCUGUACUCGGCCUCAGCCGAUGAUCUUGAUAUUGUUUGUUGUUUUUUUGAUUUCCAAGAUACUAGGGAAGUACCAAGGAAGAUGGCAAACCCCGAUGUUGAUCGUCUGGUGGUUGGGCAACUUGCCCAAUCUGAGUCAGAAAAUGCAGAAAUGUGGUCCAUUGAGGAUCCUGUAAAAUGCAACCCCACACCAGGUGAUCCUUUUAUGUAUUUUAAUACUCUGUAGGCAGCUUUCAUGUGAAUGUCUGUGGGUGUUGCCAUGUGCUGACUUAGAUAAGUCACAGCAUAUGAUAUGUCUGGUCUUGUGCAAGUUAAAUAAACUAACUUGCCAAUUAUGCUUCUAUAUUGCUGUGGGUCCUCUAAUGGGGUUCCACAUGUCUCUGUUUUAUGUGACUGCAUUGGUGUUUUAUUAAUGUGGUUAUUUGGUUGUAUUAAUGUGUUAUUGAGUUUUUCUGUUUUAUAAUUGGAUAUUUGUUUUUGGCUAUUUGGAGUAUUAUUUGGUUUGCAUUGAGUUAGAUCAUAUUUUUCCAAUAGAUCUAAGGUGUAUUUUCUUUGCCCAAUGUAUAGGUCAUUUGGUGUUUUUGUGAAUUCAAGGCCUAGGAAAUAUUUAAGUUCUCCUAAGUCUUUUAUUUUGAAAGUCUCGCUUAAGUUUCCUUUUAAGGUAUUAAUUUUAUCUAUGUUAUUUCCUGUUAUUAACAGGUCAUCAACAUAGGCUAAUACUAUUGUAGUAUCUUUAUCAUCAAUGUUUAUGAACAGUGAAUAAUCUGUCUUACAUUGUUUGUAUCCAAAAUUGGAUAGAGCCUUUGACAGAUUUGAUACCACACUCUGGAGGCUUGUUUUAGGCCAUAUAGUGACCUAUUCAGUCUGCAGACUGAAUUUGGUGGUUGUCUUUUGGUAUGUCUAGACCCAAGGGAAUUUUCAUGUAUAUAGUUUCUUCUAGAGUUCCAUGUAGAAAAGCAUUUUGUACAUCCAUUUGAUGCAUGUGCCAUUUCUUGGAUACUCCUAUUGCUAAAAUGACUCUGAGUGUUGUCAUUUUUGAGACAGGGGCAAAGGUUUCUGUGAAAUCUAUCCCCUCAAUUUGGUUGUAUCCUUUUGCAACCAAUCUAGCUUUAUGUUUUUCAACAGUUCCAUCACUGUUGAAUUUGGUUUUGUAAACCCAUUUGCAGCCAAUUGGUUUCUUUCCUUCAGGAAUGCUAGUGAUUGUCCAGGUUUUGUUGUUUUCAAGAGCCUCAAGUUCUUGUUUCAUAGCAUUGUUCCAUUUGGCAUGUUUGGAGGCUUCUUUGUAUGAGCCUGGAUCAUUGUUGCUUUCUAUUGUUGUGAUGAAAGCAUAGUGUUCUGGGGUGAAAUUUUGGUGUGAGAUUUCUUUCCCUAUUGGGUGUCUAGAUGAUGCUAGUUGUAGUUUGUAAUCUUUUAGGUAUGAAGGCAUUUUUCUAGUUCUUUUUGAUGUUCUGUUAGUGCCCUCAUUGUCUGCUGGUGUUGGUGUUUCAGCUAUUUCUUCCUCUUCUUCUAACUCAUAUUGUUCAGUGAGUUCCAUUGAAGGAGGAAUGUGGGAAAUUUGAGGAAUUAUCUCCUCAUCUUCCUCUGACUCAUAUUGGUCAUGUGAGGGAGUUAUGUAUGUGUUUGUUUCUUCUAAUGGUUCUUUGUUGAAGAAGUCUUCCUCAUGUUGUUUGGGUUUUUCUUGAAAUGGGAAGAUUUCUUCAUGGAAAGUAACAUCCCUGUUUGUGAAGAUUUCUUGGUUUGAUAGGUUGAGUAUCUUAUAACCCUUUCUUUGGAAAGAGUAUCCUAGAAAAAUUCCCUUAAUGGCUCUGUUUUCGAAUUUUGUCUUUGUUUUGUUGUUUGUAGCAUAGCAAAGACAUCCGAACACUCUUAGGAUAGAGAGGUUUGGUUGCUCAUUAAACAGUCUGUAGUAAGGGGUGUCAUUGUCUAAGACAACAGCUGAGGUUCUAUUUAUUAGGAAUACAGCUGUUAGGAUGCAUUCCCCCCAAUAUGUAAGGGGGAUGUUGGAUUGGAUCAUAAGUGACCUGGCCACUUGUAGUAUAUGCUGGUGUUUUCUUUCUACUCUCCCAUUUUGUUGAGGAGUGUAAGGACAUGAUAGUUGGUGUGCUAUUCCAUUUGUUUUUAUGAUAUUUUGGAAUUCUUUAGACAGGAAUUCUGUUCCAUUGUCUGUUCUUAUGGUUUGGAUCGUUGUUUGGUGUUGAUUUUUAACAUCCAAGAUGAACUGUUUGAAUUUUCCUAAUGUUUCAGCUUUGUUUGUCAUCAGGAAGGCCCAGGUAGCCCUUGAAUAGUCAUCUACUAUGGUCAGAAAGUAGUUGUUUCCUUGAUGUGUGGGUGUAUGAAACUUGCCCCAAAUAUCUAGAUGAAUAAGCUGAAAACAUUUUGUAGUUUUACUUGUGCUAGAAUUAAAAGAUAACCUUGUUUGUUUUGACAAAGGGCAUGUAUUACAAAAUUUUGAAAAAUUUUUAGGAAUACAAUUGUUCAAUAAAUGUAGAUGAUAAAAUCUAGAAGGUGCAGGGUGUCCUAGCCUUCUGUGCCAGAUUUUUUCAUCUUUAGAUUCCCUUUGUUGGAUGUGAUUGGCCUGGGGUGAUUCUAGCUUUAAUAUGUAUAGACCAUCUUUCUUCUCACCACCACCAAUCUGGUUUCCCUGCUGGUCCUGUAUGGAACAGAAAGUAGGGUGGAAGGUGAAUAAGCAAUUUAUAUCUUUUGUUAACUUGCUUACAGAUAGAAGGUUUACUGAGAAGGAUGGUAUUUUAAGGACAUUGUGUAAAACAAUGUCUUUUGACAGGGUUGUGGAGCCACUUGAUGAUACUCUUGUGGUUUGUGAGUUUGGAAGGUGUAUGUUAAUUGGGUACAGGAGUGUUUUUAUGUUCUGUAGUUUGGUGUUGGGGGAACACAUGUGAUCUGUUGCCCCUGUGUCAAUGAUCCAUUGAUCAUUUUUUGUUUCAGUGUGUGGUUUUGUGUGUGUGUUUAAGGAGUAAUGAAAACAAGUAUUAUUUUUAUAAUGUGACUUACCAGAUGAGCUUCCAGAAGCCAUGUGAGCUUGACUCUGUUUCCCUUUGGAGAAUCCUCCCAGUAUGUCUAUUAGCUCUUCUCUGGUGAUGAACUUGUUUUCAGUUUUAUCUUCAUUGGGUUUUGGUUCAUCUUCUUCUUGUUGUGUGCUAGCAUUGUUGCUUUGGUAUUUGCCUUUCUGUCCUUUGUUGGGCCUGCCAUUGUAGUUUUUCUUUUCAACAAAUUUUGUGUCCUUCUUUUUGUUGAAAUCUACCCCAUGGAGCCCAUGUCCUGCUGGAAAUCCAUGCUCAUAGAAGCAUGUUUCCAGAGUGUGGUUGUGUUUCUUGCAUCUUGUGCAGUAGGGUUUGGAAUCUUCACUCUGAAUAUGUGUCUUUACCUGAGGAUUUUUAGAUUGUGCUACCAUGGCAUUGCCUUCCUCAGGGUAUACACAUUCCCUUUGAGUUUCUUCUUGUAGAACCAUGCUAAAAGCAUCUUCUACUGAAGGUGGGGUUUUCUUCUUCAAAAUCUGUCCUCUGAUGGUCAUGAAGGAGUCAUUCAGACCAGUUGUGAAGGUGAUUAAUCUCUCCAGAUUUUCCUUUGCUAUGCAGUUAGCAUUGCCACAGCAUUCAAAGAUCUGAUUGUUGUCUAGUUCAUUCCAGAGUCCCUGUAGUUUGGCAUAGUAAUUGCUUACAGAUUCAUUGCCUUGAGUGCAUAGUGCAAUCUGCCUUUUGAGUUGAGAAAUAACCAGGGAGUUUGCUCUGCUGUAUUUCUGUUUGAGAUUUUGCCACAAGAUGUUGGCAUCUUUUAUGAAGAUUGUGCUGCUUUUGAUUUCCUUGGAGCAGCUGUUUAGUAUCCAUGCUGUGACUAGAUCAUUGCAUCUGACCCAGGGUAUGAAGUAGUUAUCUGUGUUUUCUGCUGGUUUUGUAAUGGUUCCAUUUAUGAAACCCAGUUUGUUUUUGUGGAUAGAGAUCUUUGAAUUUCAACCACCCAUGUCUGAUAGUUUGAUCCACUGAGUGGAGUUACUACCAGGCUUGUGUUGGGAUUAUCACUCCCUGAAAUAUAGUAUGGAUUUCCAUCUUUGAUUUUAAACUCAUCAUUCUUUGUUGUCAUUUUCAGAUAAAAAUGAGAGGAGGGAAAGAAGGCUGAUGAGAAGGCACACCAGGAAUCUCAGGAGAAUGAGAGAGCUCAGAAGGCAAAAUAUGAAUGUGGAGGCCUUGGAGUAUUUUGGUGAUGUGGAAGAUGUGUACUCUUCCUCUGACUCUGAGUAUGAGAGACCUGUUCCUGUGUGGGAUAUUGAAUUUCCCUCAGAUAGUGAUGGCGAAGAUGGUGUGGUGUGUCAGGAAUACUACUAUGAUUAUGAUAGUGAUGAUUCUAUGCCUGACUAUGAGAUAUGGAGUGAUCCAGAUGUGGGCCUGAAUUCUGAGGGGGAGAAGGAAAAUGGUGUUCUAGCAGUAGAGAUUCCACUACCUCCUCGUCCUCCACAAGAAUUCUUUGACAAUAUCUGGAGAAACAGGAUUGUUUUUGAUGAUUCACAAUGCUGCUGUGUUGAAACAGAAGUGAUAGAGUUUUGUGUUUUUGAAACAGUUUGUAAUGCUGUUUCCUUUUUUUUGUGGAAAGAAUUGAUAGUAGAAAGAAAAAAUGAUUUUAGAAUAGAGAAAGAAAAAAUAUUUUGAUUAGGAUUGAACCUUCUCUGAUACCAUGAUAGAAGUUAUAUUUGAAAUAUAUGCAAAUAUAAAUAUGAAAUAUGGUUUAAGAAUUGAAUUAUCGAUGUAUGUAUGAUGAUAUGAUAAUGAACUGUAAAUUGAUACUGUAGGAUGAUCGAUUGAUGAAGCGAUGAUCCACAGCUUGUUGAAGUGAGUUGAAUGUGAUUGAACUUGAAUCUGUGAUUCAAGUUGAUGUAUUGCAGUUCCNNNNNNNNNNNNNNNNNNNNNNNNNNNNNNNNNNNNNNNNNNNNNNNNNNNNNNNNNNNNNNNNNNNNNNNNNNNNNNNNNNNNNNNNNNNNNNNNNNNNUUGCAGAAUUGAUCAGACAGAGUAACCCAAAGUCUGUAAUUGUAAUACAGAGUGUGUGGAUGUGUGUGUGUGAUCGUGUGUUGUCUUAAACUAGGAUUAGGUAUGUUUAUAUAGAAGAACACCCAACGGCUAUGUUGGUUGGGUGUAUUUAAUUAUGGUAAUUAAUAUAUAUAGGAAUGUGUAAUAUGGAUUUGGGAAUUAAUAUAAGAUUGAAUAUUUGAUUGAUAUUUGAAUGUGAAAAGAUGUAAUGAGAAUGUGAAGAGUUGUGAUGAAAUAAGAGGGUGUUAAUGAUAAUUUUAUUAUAAUGUUAUAUGUGUAAUUUAUUUUAAGGUAGGGGUAUAUCUCUAAUAUCCUCCCUCAAAUCAAAACCGGUCAGGGUUUGAUUUGAAUAUGUGGGUGCAUUGGGGUGUUGAAGUGAAUUAAUUGGGUUUGAAUUCUUGGUGUGUAUAUCAAUUAGGUUUAGUUUUUGGAUUAAAUUUUUAAAUGCUGGACCACCCAAGGGUUUAGUGAAAAAAUCACCAAUGUUUUGUGUGCUAGAGACGUGUCUUAGUGUAAUAUCUCCCGCUAAAACCUUGUCCCUCACCGUGUGAAGAUCGAUCUCUAUAUGCUUUGUUCGUUGGUGUGAUAUAGGGUUUCGUGCAAUCGCCUCUGCUGCCGUGCUGUCGGUGAAGAUACGUGGAGCCGGUGAUCGUCGUAUCUGGUAAACUCCUAUCUCAUGUAGUAGCAUUGUUAACCAAGUUAUUUCACAUGUAGUGUAGGCCAAUGCUCUGUACUCAGCCUCAGCCGAUGAUCUUGAUAUUGUUUGUUGCUUUUUUGAUUUCCAAGAUACUAGGGAAGUACCAAGGAAGAUGGCAAACCCCGAUGUUGAUCGUCUGGUGGUUGGGCAACUUGCCCAAUCUGAGUCAGAAAAUGCAGAAAUGUGGUCCAUUGAGGAUCCUGUAAAAUGCAACCCCACACCAGGUGAUCCUUUUAUGUAUUUUAAUACUCUGUAGGCAGCUUUCAUGUGAAUGUCUGUGGGUGUUGCCAUGUGCUGGCUUAGAUAAGUCACAGCAUAUGAUAUGUCUGGUCUUGUGCAAGUUAAAUAAACUAACUUGCCAAUUAUACUUCUAUAUUGCUGUGGGUCCUCUAAUGGGGUUCCACAUGUCUCUGUUUUAUGUGACUGCAUUGGUGUUUUAUUGAUGUGGUUAUUUGGUUGCAUUAAUGUGUUAUUAAGUUUUUCUGUUUUAUAAUUGGAUAUUUGUUUUUGGCUAUUUGGAGUGUUGUUUGGUUUGCAUUGAGUUAGAUCAUAUUUUUCCAAUAGAUCUAAGGUGUAUUUUCUUUGCCCGAUGUAUAGGCCAUUUGGUGUUUUUGUGAAUUCAAGGCCUAGGAAAUAUUUAAGUUCUCCUAGGUCUUUUAUUUUGAAAGUUUCACUUAAGUUUCCUUUUAAGGUAUUAAUUUUAUCUAUGUUAUUUCCUGUUAUUAACAGGUCAUCAACAUAGGCUAAUACUAUUGUAGUAUCUUUAUCAUCAAUGUUUAUGAACAGUGAAUAAUCUGUCUUGCAUUGUUUGUAUCCAAAAUUGGAUAGAGCCUUUGACAGAGUUUGAUACCACACUCUGGAGGCUUGUUUUAGGCCAUAUAGUGACCUAUUCAGUCUGCAGACUGAAUUUGGUGGUGAGUCUUUUGGUAUGUCUAGACCCAGGGGAAUCUUCAUGUAUAUAGUUUCUUCUAGAGUUCCAUGUAGAAAAGCAUUUUGUACAUCCAUUUGAUGCAUGUGCCAUUUCUUGGAUACUCCUAUUGCUAAAAUGACUCUGAGUGUUGUCAUUUUUGAGACAGGGGCAAAGGUUUCUGUGAAAUCUAUCCCCUCAAUUUGGUUGUAUCCUUUUGCAACCAAUCUUGCUUUAUGUUUUUCAACAGUUCCAUCACUGUUGAAUUUGGUCUUGUAAACCCAUUUGCAGCCAAUUGGUUUCUUUCCUUGAGGAAUGCUAGUGAUUGUCCAUGUUUUGUUGUUUUCAAGAGCCUCAAGUUCUUGUUUCAUAGCAUUGUUCCAUUUGGCAUGUUUGGAGGCUUCUUUGUAUGAGCUUGGAUCAUUGUUGCUUUCUAUUGUUGUGAUGAAAGCAUAGUAUUCUGGGGUGAAAUUUUGUUGUGAGAUUUCUUUCCCUAUUGGGUGUCUAGAUGAUGCUAGUUGUAGUUUGUAAUCUUUUAGGUAUGAAGGCAUUUUUCUAGUUCUUUUUGAUGUUCUGUUAGUGCCCUCAUUGUCUGCUGGUGUUGGUGUUUCAGCUAUUUCUUCCUCUUCUUCUGACUCAUAUUGUUCAGUGAGUUCCAUUGAAGGAGGAAUGUGAGAAAUUUGAGGAAUUAUCUCCUCAUCUUCCUCUGACUCAUAUUGGUCAUGUGAGGGAGUUAUGUAUGUGUUUGUUUCUUCUAGUGGUUCUUUGUUGAAGAAGUCUUCCUCAUGUUGUUUAGGUUUUUCUUGAAAUGGGAAUAUUUCUUCAUGGAAAGUAACAUCCCUGUUUGUGAAGAUUUCUUGGUUUGACAGAUUGAGUAUCUUAUAACCCUUUCUUUGGAAAGAGUAUCCUAGGAAAAUUCCCUUGAUGGCUCUGUUUUCAAAUUUUGUCUUUGUUUUGUUGUUUGUAGCAUAACAAAGACAUCCGAAUACUCUUAGGAUAGAGAGAUUUGGUUGCUCAUUAAACAGCCUGUAGUAAGGGGUGUCAUUGUCUAGGACAACAGCUGGGGUUCUAUUUAUUAGGAAUACAGCUGUUAAGAUGCAUUCCCCCCAAUAUGUAAGGGGAAUGUUGGAUUGAAUCAUAAGUGACCUGGACACUUGUAGUAUGUGCUGGUGUUUUCUCUCUACUCUCCCAUUCUGUUGAGGAGUGUAGGGACAUGAUAGUUGGUGUGCUAUUCCAUUUGUUUUUAUAGUAUUUUGGAAUUCUUUAGACAGGAAUUCUGUUUCAUUGUCUGUUCUUAUGGUUUGGAUCGUUGUUUGAUGUUGAUUUUUAACAUCCAAGAUGAACUGUUUGAAUUUUCCUAUUGUCUCAGCUUUGUUUGUCAUCAGGAAGGCCCAGGUAGCCCUUGAAUAGUCAUCUACGAUGGUCAGAAAGUAGUUGUUUCCUUGAUGUGUGGGUGUAUGAAACUUUCCCCAAAUAUCUAGAUGAAUAAGUUGAAAGCAUUUUGUAGUUUUACUUGUGCUAGAAUUAAAAGAUAGCCUUGUUUGUUUUGACAAAGGGCAUGUAUUACAAAAUUUGGAAAAAAUUUUAGGAAUACAAUUGUUCAAUAAAUGUAGGUGAUAAAAUCUAGAAGGUGCAGGGUGCCCUAGCCUUCUGUGCCAGAUUUCUUCAUCUUUGGAUUCCCUUUGUUGGCUAUGAUUGGCCUGGGGUGAUUCUAGCUUCAGUAUAUAUAGGCCAUCCUUCUUCUCACCACCACCAAUCUGGUUUCCCUGCUGGUCCUGUAUGGAACAGAAAGUAGGGUGGAAGGUGAAUAAGCAAUUUAUAUCUUUUGUUAAUUUGCUUACAGAUAGAAGGUUUACUGAGAAGGAUGGUAUUUUAAGGACAUUGUGUAAGAUAAUGUCUUUUGACAGGGUUAUGGAGCCACUUGAUGAUACUUUUGUGGUUUGUGAGUUUGGAAGGUGUAUGUUUAUUGGGUACAGGAGUGUUUUUAUGUUCUGUAGUUUGGUGUUGGGGGAACACAUAUGAUCUGUUGCCCCUGUGUCAAUGAUCCAUUGAUCAUUUUUUGUUUCAGUGUGUGGUUUUGUGUGUGUGUUUAAGGAGUAAUGAAAGCAAGUAUUAUUUUUAUAAAGUGACUUACCAGAUGAGCUUUCAGAAGCCAUGUGAGCCUGACUCUGUUUUUCUUUGGAGAAUCCUCCCAGUAUGUCUAUUAGCUCUUCUCUAGUGAUGAACUUGUUUUCAGUUUUAUCUUCAUUGGGUUUUGGUUCAUCUUCUUCUUGUUGUGUGCUAGCAUUGUUGCUUUGGUAUUUGCUUUUCUGUCCUUUGUUGGGCCUGCCAUUGUAGUUUUUCUUUCCAACAAAUUUUGUAUCCUUCUUUUUGUUGAAAUCUACCCCAUGGAGCCCAUGUCCUGCUGGAAAUCCAUGCUCAUAGAAGCAUGUUUCCAGAGUGUGGUUGUGUUUCUUGCAUCUUGUGCAGUAGGGUUUGGAGUCUUCACUCUGAAUGUGUGUCUUUACCUGAGGAUUUUUAGAUUGUGCUAUCAUGGCAUUGCCUUCCUCAGGGUAUACACACUCCCUUUGAGUUUCUUCUUGUAGAACCAUGCUAAAAGCAUCCUCUACUGAAGGUGGGGUUUUCUUCUUCAGAAUCUGUCCUCUGAUGGUCAUGAAGGAGUCAUUCAGACCAGUUGUGAAGGUGAUUAACCUCUCCAGAUUUUCCUUUGCUAUGCAGUUAGCAUUUCCACAACAUUCAAAAAUUUGAUUGUUGUCCAAUUCAUUCCAGAGUCCCUGUAGCUUGGCAUAGUAAUUGCUUACAGAUUCGUUGCCUUGAGUGCAUAGUGCAAUCUGCCUUUUCAGUUGAGAGAUGACCAGGGAGUUUGCUCUGCUGUAUUUCUGUUUAAGAUUUUGCCAUAAGAUAUUGGCAUCAUUUAUGAAGAUUGUGCUGCUUUUGAUUUCUUUGGAGCAGCUGUUUAAUAUCCAUGCAGUGACCAGAUCAUUGCAUCUGAUCCAGGGUAUGAAGUAUUUAUCUGUGUUGUCUGCUGGUUUUGUGAUGGUUCCAUUUAUGAAACCUAGUUUGUUUUUGGUGGAUAGGGAUCUUUGAAUCUCAACCACCCAUGUUUGGUAGUUUGAUCCACUGAGUGGAGUUACUACCAGGCUUAGAUUGGGAUUAUCACUUCCUGAAAUGUAGUAUGGAUUUCCAUCUUUGAUUUUAAACUCAUCAUUCUUUGUUGUCAUUUUCAGAUAAAAAUGAGAGGAGGGAAAGAAGGCUGAUGAGAAGGCACACCAGGAAUCUCAGGAGAAUGAGAGAGCUCAGAAGGCAGAAUAUGGAUGUGGAGGCCUUGGAAUAUUUUGGUGAUGUGGAAGAUGUGUAUUCUUCCUCUGACUCUGAGUAUGAGAGACCUGUUCCUGUGUGGGAUAUUGACUUUCCCUCAGAUAGUGAUGGCGAAGAUGGUGUGGUGUGUCAGGAAUACUACUAUGAUUAUGAUAGUGAUGAUUCUAUGCCUGACUAUGAGAUAUGGAGUGAUCCAGAUGUGGGCCUGAAUUCUGAGGGGGAGAAGGAGAAUGGUGUUCUGGCAGUAGAGAUUCCACUACCUCCUCGUCCUCCACAAGAAUUCUUUGACAAUAUCUGGAGAAACAGGAUUAUUUUUGAUGAUUAACAGUGCUGCUGUGUUGAAACAGAAGUGAUAGAGUUUUGUGUUUUGAAACAGUUUGUAAUGCUGUUUCCUUUUGUGGAAAGAAUUGAUAGUAGAAAGAAAAAUAUGAUUUUAGAAUAGAAAAGAAAGAAUAUUUUGAUCAGGAUUGAUCCUGCUCUGAUACCAUGAUAGAACUUAUAUUUGAAAUAUAUGCAAAUAUAAAUAUGAAAUGUGGUUUAAGAAUUGAAUUAUUGAUGAAUGUAUGAUGAUAUGAUAAUAUAUUGUAAAUUGAUACUGUAGGAGAAUCGAUUGAUGAAGCGAUGAUCCACAGCUUGUUGAAGUGAGUUGAAUGUGAUUGAACUUGAAUCUGUGAUUCAAGUUGUUGUAUUGCGGAAGCGUUUGAUGAUUAGCAAUUCCAGUUGCAGAGUUGAUCAGACAGAGUAACACAAAGUCUGUAUUGUAAUACAGAGUGUGUGGAUGUGUGUGUGAUCGUGUGUUAAUCUUAAACUAGGAUUAGGUAUGUUUAUAUAGAAGAACACCCAACGGCUAUGUUGGUUGGGUGUAUUUAAUUAUGGUAAUUAAUAUAUAUAGGAAUGUGUAAUAUGGAUUUGGGAAUUAAUAUAAAAUUGAAUAUUUGAUUGAUAUUUGAAUGUGAAAAGAUGUAAUGAGAAUGUGAAGAGUUGUGAUGAAAUAAGAGGGUGUUAAUGAUAAUUUUAUUAUAAUGCUAUAUGUGUAAUUUAUUUUAAGGUAGGGGUAUAUCUCUAAUAAUUUGGGAAGAACAUUCGACAAUCUGAUCAAUAUAUGAGAACUUCCUCACUUUCUAAAAAUUCCACAAAUUUUGACACCUUUGUCCAACGUCACCAUUGUCAUAAACCUACAUAUGCAAUUCAUUUCUUUUUUUUCUUCUUCUCAUUUUGCAAUUCUUGGAGUUCCAAGAAAAUCCUCACGAUCUUCAAAAAUUCCCGUAGAUUGGGAAUAUAGAAAGUGGUGAUUGGGUGACUGUGUGUGGUGAUCCUUGUUUUUCUCGCUCUCUCGUGCUCUAGUGUUCAUGUGCUAUGGUGGCUAAAUUCUUCACGUUUUUCAAGAAUUCAUUUGUGGGUGUGGGAUGGAGGAGAUUAUUCGUAGGAGUGCUCCUACAUCAUGAUCAUUUGCUGAUGUUGUUGGGGGUAAAGAGAUACCCUUGGAUUAGAUUUUGGUUAUUCCCCCCCAAUGGUUCGUGAUGAUGGUGAAAAUUUAGAGGUCGUGGGAGCUUAGGUUCUAGCUCGUGUAAGAAAAAAAUGGGGAGGAACAUUGUUGAUCAAGAUUAUAGGUAGGAAAUUUUAUCCACAAUAAAUUGCAGGGCAUAUCCGGCGAAAUUGGAAAGUCACUUGGGGUUUUGAGGUUAAGUCUCGUCGCGACGAUUUGUUUAUUGUUCGUCUAAAAGAGGUUGUAGAGUAUUGAAAGAUGUCAUUGACGAUGCAGUAUAUACUAUUGAAGUCGUUGACGUGAUAGGGAGACUUAAUUACCAUAAGAGAUUACUGGAGGAUGCUCGUCGGAACGUCAGAGUACUUGUCGAGGAGACGGAGGCUGCAGCUGACGACGAGAUGACAGAGAAUGGUUCUAACGACUAAUAGUUAGCCUGGAAAGAGGGUGAACCAGCCAGAGGGUCCGCCUACCGAAUACCUGGUAUCAGAACUUUGUAACUAAUCGCGAUGGUCAAAGGGGCACGACGACUUAAUUCUUUAAAUUUAUCUGGAGAAUUUAGUAAUAAGUAUGGAAGGGCAGUUUAGUCUUUUGUAAUAACUUGAUAUAUAAACGAUUGUAACCCAUUUCGGUAAAUUAACUUUGGAUUUAAUUAAAGGUUUUUAACCUAAAAGCUGCCAAUGCUACUGUUCCAUUGAUCUACCGCAACCCUUCAUCUUUUCUCCUAUUACUGGUGUUUUUAAUCCCUCCUGUCAGAGUAUUCCUCAUCACCGUCGGUAGAUUGUCCGAAGAUCUUCAGAAGAAGGAAUUGUACUCAUGAAAAAUACAAAAAAAAUCAUCCAAAGCAUGUUCUGUGCUAAACAGAUCCUAGCAAAGGACUUUCAGCAAAAUUUAAUAAUCCAUACUUGAAUAUUAUUUUAUUUCAGAUCCAGAUUAUUCAACUUGGAGAUCCGAAGAAGGAAUUGUGCACCUUUAACACACACAAAAAAAAUCGCCAAGGCAUGUUCUAGGCCCUAACUAGAUCCGGAUCAUGCAAUUAUCUAUCCUUGGUUCCUUGUUAUAUAUUGUCUUUAUCCUAAGAGAAUUAAUAUUGCAGAUAUUACACACAUGGUUGAGAAUAUGGACUUACAACUCAAAUGAGUGCAAGCUAAACAAGCUAUUGAGGAUGAAAGGUUAAGCAAGAUAGAACCAACCUUGGCUCAAAUGGUUGAAUCAUUGGGGAGGAUUUCAAACAGAGAUCCGCCUAAAGGGAAUAGUAGUGAUGACCCAAAACCAGAGUACAAGAAAUUUGUAAGAACUGAUAUGCCCAAAUUUGAUGGAUCUAAUGUGCAAGGUUAGUUAUAUAUAUAAGGCAAAAAAAUACUUAGAUAUCACAACAUCGAUCACUGAUGAAGAAAGAAUAAUUGUGGCAACCUUCAACAUGGAAGGAGAGGCGCUAGAAUGGCUAUUGUGUCAGGAACAAUGCUAUAAAAUCUUGGUCAUAUUUCACAGAUGAUGUCAUAACAAGAUUUGGAACCUGAGCUUAUGAGAUCCCAGCGGGGAGACUCAGUAAACUGGUCCAAACAGGAACAGUGAAGGAGUUUGAGGGAUUUUAUCAUAACAGUUGUGCUCUCAUUUUAAUAAAUGAAAUAGUACGAAUCGUUCAUUUAUAUUUAUUUAAUUAGAUCUAUCACUUCUCAUUUUAAAAUAACAAUCCGAAAAAAAGAGUAUAUACACAGAAGAAACUUUAUAGAAAUUCAUCUCCAAUUAGUCCAAAAACGCCCAUGAAAUCUUGGCCUCACAUUUAUAAAAAAUAUUACACCUCAGGAUUAGUGUAAGAUGGAGGGGAAAAAUCAAAUGAAAUAAAUGGACAGUCAGGAUUCCAUGGGCGUUUUUGAACGUAACUAAGAGAGUCUCACUUGAAAAUUGUUCUAUAUAUACAUAUACUAAGAGUGAGCAUGAACAAACUUUAAUAAUCUUUAUAAAUUUAUAAGACAAACUUUAUCCCUAUUUUUUCACAAUGUUGAUCUCAACUUGAUCUGCAACCAUCACGUCAAUAAUCUCACCAAUCUGCAGCCAACAUUAAUUUCUUGAUCAUGAACCGUUCAAUAUUGAAUUCGUUCUUAUAGAUCUUCUGAAAUUUGUUCCGACAAAAAAAAUCUAAAAUGGAUAAAAAAAUCAGAUAAUGAAAUUCUUGAGUUAUAAACCUAUUAUAUAUACAAUUAUAUAAAAAUCAUGAACAUAUGUAACUAGUUAUAAACGUGAAAAUGAAAUAGUUAUAAAUUUGUACAUACAACUAGUUAUAAAUCUAAACAUUCAACUAUUUGUAAAUCUAAACAUUCAACUAGCUGAACAUUGAACUAGAUAUAUAUUGAAAAUGCAACUAAUUAUAAAUCUAAACAUGCAAUUAUAUAAAAAUCUUGAACAUUCAACUAGUUAUAAACUUGAAAAUGUAACUAGUUAUAAAUUUGAACAUGUAUUCAACUAGCUGAACAUUGAAUUAGCUAUAAACCUGAACAUUAAUUUAGCUAUAAACCUAAAUAUUGAAUUAGUUAUAAACCUAAACAUUGAACUAGUUAUAAACUUAAAAUGCAACUGAUUGUAAAUCUAAAACAUGCAACUAGUAGCUCGCGAGCAACCCGGGAGCUCCAAAAGUAGCUCGCGAAUAACCUGGGAGCUCCAAAAGUAGCUCGCGAGCCUACGAGAGCAACCCAAGGGAAGUUCAAUUAAGAUCAAGGUAUUUUCAAAACUAGUCCUAAUCUGAAUAUACAAUUUGUUGUAUAAACUUACAACUAUUGUAAUUAAAUGACUAAAUUAUAAUUAAAAUGUAAUUAAAAUCAACUGAUCGUUUUUUUAAUUUUUAUAAUAUCUAAAAAUUAUCAAAAUAACAUGUAUUUAUUUUAAUUAAAAUAAAUAAAAAUAUUGUUUAAAUAAGAUAAUAAAUAAAUAAAAAACAACUAGAAAGUAUCGAAGUAAUUAAAUAAAAAAAUAAGUUAAAUUAAAAUGAAAAUUUCUAAAUAUAUAUCUAAACCCUAAAAUGUUUAACAAUAAAAGUAUCAUCACUAGUUCACUACCCAUGCCCACCCCUAGUAAGAUAAUAUAUAUAAAUUUUGUAUGACAGUGACUAGAUAAUCGAAUAUUACAGUUUAGUCAAAUUCUGGUGAGAAUUUAAGGAUUUGAAACACACUUGUUUUGAAAUCAUGUCAUUUAUUUUAACUUUUUCAAGAUAUUCAAAUCAAGUAUUUAAAUUGUUAGCCAAAUUUCAUACACAAAUAUAGAAAUAUCAUAUUUUAUUUAGUAAGAGGUAGUAAACUGUUUUUUCUUUUUCUAAUCAAACUCAAUUAAUGGAUUAAUGUUUCAUGAAUUGUUUGCUAUAAAUACCACCAUAAUCUCAUGCUUUCUUCAAAACAAAAUAUCUCCCAAUAAGCUUUCUAAAAUAUAUCAUUGUAUCAAUGGCGGUGUCUAAGGUGUUGGGUACAACCUUUGUGGUCAUGCUCUUUCUAGGCAUGACCUCUGCAGGGAGGGUUUUGUCGAAUAAUGGAGGUGGUGGUGAAGGUGGUGGUGGUGGAGGUGGUGGUGGCAAAGGAAGUGGUUCUGGUUAUGGGUCGGGGAGUGGUUAUGGAUCUGGAAGUGGUUCUAAUUACGGUGGACGUGGAGGUGGAGGUGGAGGUGGUGGUGGACAUGGAGGUGGGAAUGGAUCGGGAUAUGGUUCUGGCAGUGGAUCUGGUUAUGGUUCAGGUAGCGGAAAUGGUGGUUAUGGCAGUGGAGGAGGUGGUGGAGGUGGUCAUGGAGGCGGUAGUGGCUCUGGACAUGAAUCUGGUUCUGGUUAUGGAUCAGGUUCUGGUUAUGGAAGUGGGGGACUUCCAUAAGUAUGAUCAUCAUCUAGUGGAUAUGUAAUAUAUGUAUACAUACAUAAGGCGACCAUAUAUAUCUGGUUGAUCGAAUAAUGUUUUAAACUCUCUAAUUUAUAAUACCAAUUACAAUAAUAAAUUUGAGAGGUUUAAAUCACAGGACACUUGAAUUUGGAUAUUGAAAAAUAUAUAACUUGAUAUGAAUUUUAAUAAAUAUUAGUUACUGAAUGAAUGAAUGAAUGAAUGAAUGAAUGAAAAUAAUUCAUUAAGAUAGAAUAAUUGUAAUACAAGAAUUUUGUUAUUCAUAAUUCUUCAAAUACGAUUAAUUCGAUUAUUUCUUACAGUGAUGUUGAUUGGGUUGCAGGAAACCCUGACGAUUAAUUCACUAUAGCCAUCAAUAUUUUCAUCCAUUCUUUUGUAUUCCACUUUAAUUGAGAGGUUUGUCUCAAAAUCAUUAUAAUAUGAUGAAAAGCUUUUGAGCUUCACAAAAAAGUUAGGUUUGAUUUUAUAGAAUUGUUGAAAAAACUUUUAAUUAAAUAAGUUCACAAAUACCUCUAGACUAGUGUAUUUCGUGAAUCAAAAUCACAAGAAUAAAGUAGAUCAACGAACUAAUAUAAAUUUCUAUGUGUUUUUCAUUUAACCAACUUAGAUUUCAGUCAACGCAAAAACGACAAGCUUUAUCUUUCAAUCUUUUUGUUAUUUAACUUGUGUUACUUUAUGUCCUAAAUCUAUUUAAUUAGUUCUCGAUCUGCUAUCAGAUUUUAAAAACACGAGAGCACGAGACCGGCAACAGAGCUUCGGUGCAUUACUGCAUUGGCCGACAAUGAAACUCUGAAGCACGAGACUGGGAAAGCGGUCAAUUUCUUCAAUGAGAGAGCCUAGAAGAUGUUUAACAUAAUAUUCUAUUUAAUGUCAUAUUCGCAAAUUUUCACCGACUAAAAUUGGAUAUUAGUGAGUCACUAUCAUUUAUUCAUAUCACAACUGUACUUUAUCAAAAAAAAAUUAAAUCAAAUUGACUUUUUUCAUUGACUGAGAUAUUUAUUGAUAAUUUAAAAAUUAAGAUGUCAUUUUUUGUUGUUAUUAAAAAUCAUUUAUCUCAUUUGAAAUAUCUCAUGAAAACGUUUUUUAUUUAUUAAUAUCACGAUUGUAGUGGCUUCAUAUAUGUAUGUAUGUAUGUAUGAUUUUAUAUAUAUCAAGUAGACGUUGAUCAUAUUUAUGGUCGUCCUCCACUUCCGUAACCAGAGCCUGAUCCAUAACCUGAACCAGAUCCAGAUCCAGACCCACCACCUCCUCCAUGGCCACCGCCACCACCUCCUCCAUUGCCGUAACCACCAUUUCCGCUACCUGAACCAUAACCAGAUCCACUGCCAGAGCCAUAUCCCGAUCCGUUCCCACCCCCUUGUCCACCACCACCUCCACCGCCAUGUCCACCACCUCCUCCUUGGCCACCACCGUAACCAGAACCGCUUCCAGAUCCAUAACCACUCCCUGAUCCAUGACCACUUCCAGAUCCUCCACCACCACCGUGUCCACCUCCUCCACCACCACCGUGUCCACCUCCACUCCUUUUACCACUUCAAUAACCUGAACCGGAUCCAUAGCCACUACCAGCUUGACCUCCACCGCCGCCUCCACUACCAUACCCACCUCCUUUCCCAUGUCCCGAACCAUAUCCUGAGUCAUAACCAGAACCACUUCCCUUUCCACUACCUCCUCCUCCACCACCGCCGCCACCUCCACCACCACCUUCAUUAUUCGACCAAACCCUGGUUGCAGAGGUCAUGCCUAGGAAGAGCAUGACAACCAAAGUAGCACCCAACACCUUAGACAUAGCCAUUGAUGGUUAUAUAUUUUAGAAAGCUAAAAGAGAGAUGUGUGUUGUUAUGAAG
RNAcentral lists this long non-coding RNA (29211 nucleotides) under Zostera marina. Its description in RNAcentral is "long non-coding RNA (ZMAR_LNC000091)". Lineage: Eukaryota; Viridiplantae; Streptophyta; Magnoliopsida; Alismatales; Zosteraceae. The record is from RNAcentral.